AGCGGCGGACGGGUGAGUAACACGUGGGUAACCUGCCCAAGAGACUGGGAUAACACCUGGAAACAGAUGCUAAUACCGGAUAACAACACUAGACGCAUGUCUAGAGUUUGAAAGAUGGUUCUGCUAUCACUCUUGGAUGGACCUGCGGUGCAUUAGCUAGUUGGUAAGGUAACGGCUUACCAAGGCAAUGAUGCAUAGCCGAGUUGAGAGACUGAUCGGCCACAUUGGGACUGAGACACGGCCCAAACUCCUACGGGAGGCAGCAGUAGGGAAUCUUCCACAAUGGACGAAAGUCUGAUGGAGCAACGCCGCGUGAGUGAAGAAGGGUUUCGGCUCGUAAAGCUCUGUUGGUAGUGAAGAAAGAUAGAGGUAGUAACUGGCCUUUAUUUGACGGUAAUUACUUAGAAAGUCACGGCUAACUACGUGCCAGCAGCCGCGGUAAUACGUAGGUGGCACGCGUUGUCCGGAUUUAUUGGGCGUAAAGCGAGUGCAGGCGGUUCAAUAAGUCUGAUGUGAAAGCCUUCGGCUCGACCGGAGAAUUGCAUCAGAAACUGUUGAACUUGAGUGCAGAAGAGGAGAGUGGAACUCCAUGUGUAGCGGUGGAAUGCGUAGAUAUAUGGAAGAACACCAGUGGCGAAGGCGGCUCUCUGGUCUGCAACUGACGCUGAGGCUCGAAAGCAUGGGUAGCGAACAGGAUUAGAUA
RNAcentral lists this ribosomal RNA (703 nucleotides) under uncultured bacterium. Its description in RNAcentral is "bacterial SSU rRNA". It matches the Rfam family "Bacterial small subunit ribosomal RNA", at positions 94 to 784 of the family's 1533-position model. The record is from RNAcentral.